UUGUAACUGAAAGCACAUCUCUGUCCGUUCUCCUUGCAGCGAGUAAAAUAACUAAUUCUUUGCCUUUCUCUUCUUUUUGUGAUGAUUAUAAGUAUUUUAGGUUGUUUGAACCUGACAAUACCCCCCAAGGCUUGCAGCUGCAUUAGCAGCAAAAUUAUGGAACUAAAUUGGGGCCAUAAAGUUUGUUCAAAAGAAAAAAAAAUUGAACCUGAAAAAUAAUAGUUUGCUCAAAAGAAAACAAUUUGAACCUGAAAAAUAAUAGUUUGUACAAAAGAAAAAAAUUUGAACCUCAAAAAUUAUUUUGAACCUCCCCACAAAAAAUUUCAAAACUGGAAAAACGUUUUGUAACUGAAAAAACGUUUGAAGUUUGAAGCCAAAUUUAUAAAAUCUGCAAGUGCGAACAUUUUAUUUUUUUCCAGUUUCACAUGUUUUUUUCAGGAAUGUUUCAAUUGAGGGACAAAUAAAGUAAUAUUCUAUGCUAUUCUUUUCUAUUCUGUAUUCCUUGUCUUCCUUUUCUAAGUCACCGAUUGGUGUUCCAGACCUUCCAACCAAAAGUCUCUCUCCAUAGGCAUCCUAAAUUCCUCCCUUGCCUGAGUAGCCACAGUGGCUACAGCCUUUCUGGCCAUCAAGUACCUGUCAGUCGUUUCAAGAGUCCUCAAGGACAACCAAGCCCCAGCAUCUGCAAUGGAGAUCCUGAACAUCGGUGGUAGGGGAGGCUGACAGACCUAGUAAACCUAAAUGGGUUUUUAGUAGGAGUUAUUUUAAAUUUAUAUCAAGUGUAAGGUUUCCUCUGAUGAUUUCUUCAUUUUUCUACUGUUGUAUGACAUCUAUCUACUAUGGGUUAGAGAACUUUACUGAUAACCUCACAUCAGAAAUUUCAAAAUAUCCCUUCAGUAUACACAUGAAUGCUCCAGAGCAGGAAACUGCUAGUUUUACAGGAGUGGUCACACUUGCUGCUGAUCAGCUCACAAAGUCUCUCUUAUUACCAAGGUGUACUUAGUUUUUCACACACAACCUUUCCAUUUAAUUGAAAUAACUAAUGACAGUGUGGAAUCUGCUGUGUGUUUUUGUGCACUUGAGGUCCGGAUCAUUUUUGUGAUUUCCUGUAUGUUAAAAUGAAAGAGGGUGCACUUUCUUUUUACCAUGACUGCAGACUGCAGUUCAUCAUAAUAACAUCUUGUAAGACAUAUUUAUCACAUAUGCUGUCUCAAUUUUUGUGAAAUUCAUCCUCAAAUCACUGACAGCACAAAAAGUGUUAAACCAGUGUCAUUAUUUGCUUACAAAAACAAAGAGUUUUUUUACUGUUCACUGACAUCAAAAUCUGCCGUCCUUUAUCCACUCUGAAUAAGUUCUGAUAAAAAUCCGUUCUGCUGAAACACAGCGGGGUAGCAUCUUGAAAAGCAUCUCUGAAUAUCUGUGGUCUGUGAUUUAAAAGAAUGCUCUGACUAAAAAUAUUGCUCUAAUAAAUAUGCUGAGGAAAAUAAAAAAGGUAAUUAAUACCUGCAGAGUGCAUCAACAGCAAAGCUCCAUUGUCAGUGUGCUGAAUAUUCAUUUCCCAGGAUGCAGUGUGGGUGAAUUAAACAAGCUGACCUCAUCUGUUGGAUUGACUGAUAUCUGUCACUGGUGAAAAAGCAGGCAGAGGGUGCAUAAAUUCACCUGAUAGUUGUCAGGAUCUGGGUUUUGUUUGCAUUUGUUUUGUGCUUGCUUCAUGUGUUCAGUGUUUUCAGACGGUGCUGGAGUUCUCAGGUGUCCUGGGUGACAGAUGCAACUUGUUCUACUGAUUACUUUGAGGAGUACUUAAGCAGGGGGCUGCCAGCACUUCGAUGCCAGAGUGUUUUGCCCUCAGUGGCUAAGUAAACCUGAACCCUGGGUUUAUGACACUGAAUACUGAAGACUUUCUGGAUGAUCAAGGCUAUCUACAUUCUGAGGAUUUCAUUUCCUAUCUACUGUCUUCGUUUGGAUUCGCAUCUAGCUGCCAGUUUCCUGCUACCUUCGCCUCCUGGACCAAGCCGUAAGCGUACCCUGUCCACCCUCCAACGUAAGCAUCUGCACACCGAACUCAUUCCUGCUUUGCUCUGAGUUCACACUGAACAGCACCUAAAGAACCUUCUACAAACCUGGAUCAUAAAUGCCUCUUUCCCCAAUGACCUGACCACACCUAUUUAUUGGAGAAUCAUCCGUUACGUUCCUGAUUAUCUUUGUCACAAUAAACAUUCCUUUACAUAUUCUGUUCUCUAUGUGGGUCAGACCUAUUGCAAAUAAAAUGACAAUAGUGCUUAAACACAGCUCCAAAU
This is a long non-coding RNA of Girardinichthys multiradiatus, 2294 nucleotides long. RefSeq lists it as uncharacterized. Lineage: Eukaryota; Metazoa; Chordata; Actinopteri; Cyprinodontiformes; Goodeidae. The transcript is spliced from 3 exons. The record is from RefSeq and is a predicted model, not a curated record.